AAAGUCGUAACAAGGUUUCCGUAGGUGAACCUGCGGAAGGAUCAUUAACGAGUAACGAGUCCUUCUGGGCUCGCACUCCAACCCUAUGCUUAUCUGCUCUGUGCCUCGGCAGGGUGCCUUUUAAGCACACCUGCCGGGAGAGGGGCCGCGGCGGACAGCUGGCUUCGGCCUGCUUGAGGCGCGGCUUCGACCAAUCAAACUCUGCGUAAAACUUUUAAGAGUCUGAUCUAAAAUGUAUGGCAUUAAAACUUUCAACAACGGAUCUCUUGGUUCUG
RNAcentral lists this unclassified non-coding RNA (275 nucleotides) under Ascomycota sp. Its description in RNAcentral is "partial contains small subunit ribosomal RNA, internal transcribed spacer 1, and 5.8S ribosomal RNA". The stretch from base 1 to 47 matches the Rfam family "Eukaryotic small subunit ribosomal RNA", at positions 1785 to 1831 of the family's 1831-position model. The record is from RNAcentral. Lineage: Eukaryota; Fungi; Ascomycota.